This 643-nucleotide small RNA is filed under the name Pongo abelii (Sumatran orangutan). Its description in RNAcentral is "processed transcript". The record is from RNAcentral. Lineage: Eukaryota; Metazoa; Chordata; Mammalia; Primates; Hominidae.
CUGCGGGGAGGUGCUGGGCUUCCUGGGCAGCUCGUCGGUGUUCUGCAAAGACUGCAGGAAGAAAGUCUGCACCAAGUGUGGGAUUGAGGCUUCCCCUGGCCAGAAGCGGCCCCUGUGGCUGUGUAAGAUCUGCAGUGAGCAAAGAGAGGUCUGGAAGAGGUCGGGGGCCUGGUUCUACAAAGGGCUCCCCAAGUAUAUCUUGCCCCUGAAGACCCCUGGCCGAGCUGAUGACCCCCACUUCCGACCUUUGCCCACGGAACCAGCAGAGCGAGAGCCCAGAAGCUCCGAGACCAGCCGCAUCUACACGUGGGCCCGAGGAAGAGUGGUUUCCAGCGACAGUGACAGUGACUCGGAUCUUAGCUCCUCCAGCCUAGAGGACGGACUCCCACCCACUGGGGUCAGGGACCGGAAAGGUGACAAACCCUGGAGGGGGUCAGGUGGCAGCGUGGAGGCCCCCAGGAUGGGGUUCACCCACCCGCUGGGCCACCUCUCCGGGAGCCAGAGCAGCCUGGCUGGUGAGACGGGGACGGGCUCCGCCGACCCGCGGUGGGGACCCUGCCCUGUGCUGACCCGAAGGGCCCCGGAUCUCAUGCUGUAGCCCAGGCUGGAGUGCACUGGUGUGAUCACCGUUCACCGAGCCUCG